This 502-nucleotide ribosomal RNA is filed under the name Pseudoalteromonas sp. 1Bf1S11. Its description in RNAcentral is "bacterial SSU rRNA". It matches the Rfam family "Bacterial small subunit ribosomal RNA", at positions 380 to 875 of the family's 1533-position model. Lineage: Bacteria; Pseudomonadati; Pseudomonadota; Gammaproteobacteria; Alteromonadales; Pseudoalteromonadaceae. The record is from RNAcentral.
AGCCUGAUGCAGCCAUGCCGCGUGUGUGAAGAAGGCCUUCGGGUUGUAAAGCACUUUCAGUCAGGAGGAAAGGUUAGUAGUUAAUACCUGCUAGUUGUGACGUUACUGACAGAAGAAGCACCGGCUAACUCCGUGCCAGCAGCCGCGGUAAUACGGAGGGUGCGAGCGUUAAUCGGAAUUACUGGGCGUAAAGCGUACGCAGGCGGUUGAUUAAGCGAGAUGUGAAAGCCCCGGGCUUAACCUGGGAACUGCAUUUCGAACUGGUCAACUAGAGUGUGAUAGAGGGUGGUAGAAUUUCAGGUGUAGCGGUGAAAUGCGUAGAGAUCUGAAGGAAUACCGAUGGCGAAGGCAGCCACCUGGGUCAACACUGACGCUCAUGUUCGAAAGCGUGGGGAGCAAACAGGAUUAGAUACCCUGGUAGUCCACGCCGUAAACGAUGUCUACUAGGAGCUGGGGUCUUCGGACAACUUUUCCAAAGCUCACGCAUCAAGUAGACCGCCUG